This 331-nucleotide ribosomal RNA is filed under the name uncultured bacterium. RNAcentral describes it as "bacterial SSU rRNA". It matches the Rfam family "Bacterial small subunit ribosomal RNA", at positions 8 to 334 of the family's 1533-position model. The record is from RNAcentral.
AGGGUUUGAUUCUGGCUCAGGACGAACGCUGGCGGCGUGCCUAACACAUGCAAGUCGAACGGACGAGGAGGAGCUUGCUUCUCCAAGUCAGUGGCGGACGGGUGAGUAACGCGUGAGUAACCUGCCCUUCAGAGGGGGAUAACGUCUGGAAACGGACGCUAAUACCGCAUGACAUAUUUCCAUCGCAUGGUGGAGAUAUCAAAGGAGCAAUCCGCUGAAGGAUGGACUCGCGUCCGAUUAGAUAGUUGGCGGGGUAACGGCCCACCAAGUCGACGAUCGGUAGCCGGACUGAGAGGUUGAACGGCCACAUUGGGACUGAGACACGGCCCAG